RNAcentral lists this long non-coding RNA (10665 nucleotides) under Triticum aestivum (bread wheat). RNAcentral's name for it is "long non-coding RNA (TAES_LNC016792)". The record is from RNAcentral. Lineage: Eukaryota; Viridiplantae; Streptophyta; Magnoliopsida; Poales; Poaceae.
UUUUUGAAGGUCGGGCCGGGCCGGCCCGAAGCCCGACGGGCUUUUAUGUGCUCGGGCCGGGCUCGGACCCAGAAACACAGGCCCGAUAGCCGGGCUGGGCCAGGCCCGGGCCUGAGUUUUUUGUGUCGGGCUUGGCUAGGCCCGGCCCGAAGCCCGGCCCGGCCCGAGGUUUGGCCAGGUAUAUCCAUGGCCUCCGAGGCAGUCAUGUCAGCCUGUGGAGGCGGGUUAUCUGGCUUGUUGUGAUGCUCUUCAGGAUGUUCGGUGUUGGCCUCAGGGGUUACCAACACCUAUUCCUCUGACUCAGGGACUUGGGGUACUUGGAAGGGUUGCCAACCUUUCUCUUCUUCUCCUUGGCUUUGACCCUGUGAUCACAUUGGAGUGUCAAGACAAGUAUGACAAUAAAUUUUAAGUUAUAAAUAAAUGUAAGGAACAAUGAAGACAGGCAGCUGGGUUUGAGAUGAGCCUCUUGAAGACGGCGGCGACUCCUGAUAAUUGGAGUCAUAAGGGUUAAGAGGAUGUCUCAUAAGACCAGCUUUGGGUAAAGAGGAAGUUGGACUGUGUGGCACCUCAGCGGGCCGUUUACAGGCGGAAGGUUCAUGAGUUAACUUGGCCAUUAAGUCGCCUGAGCCGCCACUUCGAGUCUGGCGUCUUGACUCAUGCUGAGUUUUCUUCAAAAUAAAAUAUGGAUCUAAGUGAGCAUCUGGAUGAGAAAACUUUACUUUUCGGACAACCCGCCGUAUUUUUUUCAGAAGGUGCGUGGUCUGAGCUAGAAGAGACAAGAAUUACCUCAAUAUCGUCAGCCGGCUUGUGGCAACCUCAUCCUGAGAAUAAGAGGUGUUAGCUAAUUCAAUAAAGAGUCGGCCAAGAGAGUCGAGUUCUACCUCUGAUUGCUUGUCAGCGUCAGCUGACUCGCCCACAGCAACCAGCUCAGCUGGAGCAGCUGCCUUGUUCUUCUUUGACUUUGGGCCAGUCCUGACCUUGGCCAUAGCAGUCUUUAUCUUUCUUUUCCAAAAAGCAGAGUCGGGUUGUGUAAUGAAGAGGGAAUUAACAAAUAAGAUGCAGAAUAAGUCAAGGAUAUUUAAGCUAGACAUAAACUAGUACUUACAGGUGGGGCCGGGUUGAGCUUGAAGAAUGGUAGCAGUCCAGUCUUAUUACAAUUUUCUUUAGACUCCCCAAAGCAUAGAGUUCACAGUUUGAAAUAUCUCCUCAGCAAUAAAGUUAUCGGAGCUGUACCGUUGAGGGUCAUCUGACUCGCCUGAAUAUUCACAUAUUAAGCUGAGGCGACGGCUUAAGGGAAGAAUUCUCCAUGAGGCCCAGUAACGGGCUAAGUCAACUCCAGUUAACCCAUUGGCUAAUAAAGUCGUUAUCUCUGGAUAAUAUUGAAAUGCUUCAAUAUGUUCAUCUGGCAGAAGCUUUCUUUGGGGGUCAAAAUUGAUAGGAAGGCCAUUAGCCCUAUAAUCCGGCAGAGGGUUCUCAUUAGCUGGGGCAGUGUUCUUGCAACAAAACCAUGUCUUUAUCCAUCCUUUGGGGUGGCUACAUGAAAGCCACCGUCUCUGCGUCGCUGGAUUGAGACCCCGCCUAAUUCUUGACUCGGGCCAUUGGUACAUUCAGUUUGGCGGUUUAUGUAGAAGAAUUCCUUGAAGAGAGCAAUAGCGGGCCCUACUUUCCAAUAAGCUUCACAGAAAAAUUGAAAGUGGCAAAGGUUCGUCACUGAAUUUGGGCAUAUAUCUUGAGGAUGAAGAUUGAAAUAGUGCAAGGCGUCCUGAAAAAACUUUGACCCAGGUGGUGUAAAGCCUCUAAGGAUAUGGUGAGUAAAAACUAUCACUUCUCCUUCACCAGGAUUGGGAAUAUUUUCUCCUUGGAUAACUUGCCAGCCAAUCUCUUCUUGAGUCGCCAAGAGACCUCGGCCCACAUAAUCCUUAAGGAUUUCUUCAGUGACUAGGGAAGGGCCCCAGUUAGAGAGAGUGGUUUUUGUCAUAUUGAGUCACCUAAGGAGGAUGGAAGCUGCAGAAUAAGAGUAUGUCACGUUACUUGAGAAGUAACGAUUCAUCAUCAUCAUAACCCAAGUCCGGCAGUUUAAAGAUAAGUCGCCAUAAAUAAUGGCGGGUUGUGUAAAAAAAUAUUCAGUCUCUACAACACUGGCGGAUUAUGAAUUGUUGGGGAACGUAGUAAUUUAAAAAAUUUCCUACAAUCACGCAAGAUCUAUAUAGGAGAUGCAUAGAAACGAGACGGGAGAGUGUGUCCACGUACUCUCGUAGAACGAAAGCAGAAGCGUUUAGUUAACGCGGUUGAUGUAGUCGAAUGUCUUCACAAUCCAACCGAUCCAAGUACCAAACGUACGGCACCUCCUCGUUCAGCACACGUUCAGCCCGAUAACGUCCAUCAAGCUAUUGAUCUAGUUGAGGACGAGGAAGAGCUCCGUCAGCACAAUGGCGUGGCGACGGUAUUGAUGAUGUUAUCGGUGCAGGGCUUCGCCUAAGCACUACGACGAUAUUACCGAGGUGUUAAACUAUGGAGGGAGGCACCGCACAUGGCUAAGAGAACAACUGGUGUGCUAUGGGGUGCCCCCUGCCCCCGUAUAUAAAGGAGGGAGGAGGAGGAGGCCGGCCAAGGGAAGGCGCGCCAGGGGGGGGAGUCCUACUAGGACUCCAAACCUAGUAGGAUUCGCCCCCACCAACUUUUCCUAGUCCAAAAGGGGGAAGGACAGAAGGAGAGGGAGAGGGGAAGGAAAGAGGGGGCCGCGCCCCCUCUCCCUAGUCCAAUUCGGACUGCUAAGGGGAGGGGCGCGCGCCACCUUCUGGCCUUCCCUCUCCUACUCCCUUAUGGCCCAUCUAGGCCCAUAACUUCCCCGGGGGGUUCCGGUAACCCCUCGGUUCCCCGAAAAAUGCACGAACUCUUCCGAAACCUUUCCGGUGUUCAAACAUAGUCUUUCAAUAUAUCAAUCUUUAUGUCUCGACCAUUUCGAGACUCCUCGUCACGUUCGUGAUCUCAUCCAGGACUCCAAACAAACUUCGAUCAUCAAAAACACAUAACUCAUAAUACAAAUCAUCAUCGAAUGUUAAGCGUGCGGACCCUACGGGUUCGAGAACUAUGUAGACAUGAUCGAGACACAUCUCUGAUCAAUAACCAAUAGCGGAACCUUGAUGCUCGUAUUGGCUCCUACAUAUUCUACGAAGAUCUUUAUCGGUCAAACCGCAUAACAACAUACGUUGUUCCCUUUGUCACCGGUAUGUUACUUGUCCGAGAUUCGAUCGUCAGAUCAUCAUACCUAGUUCAAUCUCGUUACCGGCAAGUCUCUUUACUCGUUCCGUAAUUCUUCAACCCGCAACUGACUCAUUAGUCAUAUUGCUUGCAAGGCUUAUAGUGAUGAGCAUUACCGAGAGGGCCCAGAGAAACCUCUCUGAUACACGCAGUGACAAAUCAUAUUCUCGAUCUAUGCCAACCCAAUAAACACCUUCGGAGACACCUGUAGAGCAUAUUUAUAAUCACCCAGUUACGUUGUGACGUUUGAUAGCACUCAAGGUGUUCCUCCGGUAUUCGGAAGUUGCAUAAUCUCAUAGUCUGAGGAACAUGUACAUGUCAUGAAGAAAGCAGUAGUAAUGAAACUGUAACGAUUAUAAUGCUAAGCUAACGGAUUGGUCUUGUCUAUCACAUCAUUCUCGUAAUGAUGUGAUCCCGUUCAUCAAAUGACAACACAUGUCUAUAUGGUUAGGAAACAUAACCAUCUUUGAUUAACGAGCUAGUAUAGUAGAGGCAUACUAGGGACACUAUGUUUUGUCUAUGUAUUCACACAUGUACUAAGUUUCCGAUUAAUACAAUUCUAGCAUGAAUAAUAAACAUUUAUCAUGAUAUAAGGAAAUAUAAAUAACAACUUUAUUAUUGCCUCUAGGGCAUAUUUCCUUCAUGAAUAUAUUGGUAAGUCGCCCAAAGAUGCAGAGGCAGGUCAUCUAAAGUUUAGAAUUGUUGGAAAUUCUGCUAAGUGUGGAGCAAAAAAGUUUCACAAUCAAACAACUAUAUUUAUGGAUCUAUGGACAGUUCAAAAAAGAAAAAUAAUUGCUAAACGUAAGAGGUGGUGACGGAAAAACUAGCAGACAACCUAUUGAUUCUAAAAGGUAUACAAGUCGUUGAAGGUAUAAGACGGUGCCAAAACUACUACCGCAAUAUUUCUAUGGUGUUUUUCCGGAUCAAAAACAAUUUCUAUUCAAAGAUAUGUUGAUCUGGAAGGGGAUGAAUGCCGAUGAACUCCAGGUGACCUAAUGUAGAUCUAAGAAAGAAGAAGGAUGGUACCUGAGGGCGGCGGAGGAAAGCGGAGGCGCGCCGUUGUGUCCUGACGACGAGGAGGAGGUAUGGCGACCUCGAGCAAAGAAGGCUGGCGCGCAUUGACGGGCGCGGCAGAGCUCCAGUUGCGAAGGGACUCAGGAGGAGGAAGGAGAAGUGAAGAAUACGCGGUAAAAGGCAAAAGGAGGGCCCUCGUGCCUGUUUAUAAGGGAAAGUAACAGUAAAUGGCUAGUGCGAGGAUCGAGGAGGCACAAUAAAUUUUACAGGAAAGGGACGCCUCCAAUUUUGGAAUGAUUGAUUUAUACAAAGAUUCGUUAUGAUGUCAUGAAGGGUUUUCCGAAAUCACGGAGGUGACAUCAUCUCUUUAUGGCGGGUUAUGAAGACUUUUCAAGACCGCAAUGAAGAGAAGUAAAAGGAUGACUCGCUAGACGGAAGAUAUUAGUUGACAUGAAUAAGUUCAAAUCAAUCUGGGGCCUAAUGUUGGGGAUAUGACCCCACGAUAUAACACGCCCAGGAAGGGCCGGGUUAGACCGUUGGUGACUCACGGAGUCAAGGCUUCAGACGCGCCCAAGUACCCAAGGGGCAACUCACAAGAUGGGCCGAUUUAAAUCCCAAGGCCUAAAGACGAUGUGUGGCCCAUAGGCGUAAGCCGCCUUAUGAUGACUUGCCUUAUAAGGCGAGGUGAUUUAGAAUAUGGUCACGGGUUGUAACUCGACCCGGACUCUUGUAAGCCGGUGGCCUCGACCUGUAUCUAAAGGCGUGUCCCAGGCAUAGAAUAGACAGGUAACAAUCAAUCGAUAGCUAGGUCAAGCGGAAUCGCUCCCUUGUAAUUGAUACUCAAACAAUAAGCAACAAGAGUAAGAGUAGGCUUUUACCUCCACCGUGAGGAACCUGUGUAAACUUGUGUCUCUUGUCCCGCUCAAUCCCGACAAGCUAAUCACCGUUGCGAUGGCUUCACGCUUAAGUCCUUUCACUAAUCAUCUGCCGUGACAAAACCAUGACAUAUACGACCAUUUUAUUUAACUGAAACAAAGUGACCCAAGGUCUGUAAUCCAGUAAGCGGGUUGGCGGGGCUGGGCGCGACCUAGCCGUUGCAGGCGAUGACGCUGGUGUUGUGGCGCUUGGCCUCGUUGGGGAGGUUGAAGACCGCGCGCACGGCGGCCUUCAUCUCGGCCUGCAGCGCCGCGGGCACGCCGACUCCUCCGCCCGCGCACCGGCGAGCCACAGGUCGACCAGCGGGAUCUCCACCAUCUGCGCUGCCUUACUAGUUGGCCGGUCUCGUUGACUUGCGUGGGGGAUCGAUCUCCACGGCGUUUUAGUAUUUAGAGGCCGGCGGCCGGUCGUGAAAAGGGACGCUGGGGGCAGGCCGGCCGCUUGUCGGGACGACCGCACUCACACCGCCGGCAAGGAGGUACGAACAAGCUUCCGUGUACUGGGAUUGGCGAGACGAUCAGUCGAUACAUAUCGGUGUAGGUCAAACGCUGCCAUUUCUGUCAUGUUGCUGGACUGUCUCAUGCACGAUUUUGUCACAUUUUUUAAAAGCAUUUAAGGUUUAAUCAUUUACAAAGCUCAUGAAACGGCACGGUAAAACAUAAAAGUACUACUAGCUAGGUGUCAGUGCGUUACUACAGGAUGAAAUUAUAUUUCAAGAAUGAUGGCUUGUGACCGAUUGCCCUCGGUCGUUGACUAUGUUGUGCGGACAUUGGUGGCUAAUUAUUCUAGGUGCAUAUGAAGCGAUAGAUUAUGGGCUGUUCUUGAAAGAAUCUCCACUAUUCCUUGGCAACAAUGUCAUUACCAAAUACUCUCUGAAGAUGAAACAAUGGUGGAUCUUUCUGACAUAACACCCAUAAUUAGAAACAUAAUUCUUAUAUAUAAAAGGCUCUAAGUUAUUUUUCUGGUCUCCCUUUUUGACGAUCAGCCAGUUGAAUAGUUGAAAGCAAUAAUUUCAUUUAAAAAAAAUUAUUAGUACUCUCGUCAUUUAUCCUUGCUCUAGCAUUGCGGGCACCUUCUAAAUUUUUAAUAGAUAUAUGAAAUGGUCUUCGUGUACCGCUAGAUAUGAUGAGGUAUUGCAUGUCUGAAUUAACUAAUGAAAUCAUUCUCACCUACCACGAGCGUGUGUUGUAUUAAAUUUCUGAUUUACCAAUAAUGAAAGAUGCAUGUACUGCAGUACCCCUCCCCCCAUACAUAUAUAUCUGAAAAAUGAGACUAAAACAAAGGGGUGAUCAUAAAUACAGUAGAUAACAAAAGGAAAAAUGAACUCAUACAAUAUUAUAAUCAGUUAAAUCCUAUCCAAAUGCAAUGGCAACUCUUAACACAAAAAGUGAAAUAAAUCAACUAAUCAAAAGAUUCUCCAUGUUAUCUAUCUUGCUAUUGUUGCUCGUUUGAGUUACAAAGAGUAUUUAUAAAUGAAUGGAGGCACUUUCGAUCCUAUAUAUAUCUUCUAGGCAACCUGAUCAACGUUGUACUCAGUGGCAUCUCCCUCCUCUAACAACUAAGCUUAUGCCGUACUUUACUUCCCAUGUCCUUUGUUCAAGUUCAAAAAUUGGCAUAUAUUUUUCAUUACAUGGACUACUAAUUUCUCUUGUCCUAUAAAAGUUGAAUGCCUUCAAGCUGUCAACACGUGCCCAUAAAGGCUAUAUGUGGACAGAAUGUACUGGCACAUUAUGAAAUACUCCCUCCGUUCCUAAAUAUUUUUCUUUUAGAGCUUUUAAAUGGACAACCACAUACAGAUGUAUAUAGACAUAUUUUAGAAUGUAGAUUCACUCAUUUUACUCUGUAUGUAGUCACUUGUUGAAAUCUCUAGAAAGACAAUUAUUUAGGAACGGAGGGAGUAGUUACCUGCACAAACCAAGAAUCUUAGGCACCUCUAUGCUCUAGCAAAUCAGUGAUCGGGGCCCUAGGGAGGCGGGUUUGCACCGAACCAGAUAAAGGAUUAUCAGGUUUAGUUUUGCAAUAGCAUAGACCUGCAGAUACUCCCUUUCUUCUUGCAUGUCCCAGAUAUUUAUUAAGAAAUAUAUUAAGAGGUUCAUAUGACAAAUCAGCUGAUUGAAGAACAAUGCCAGGAGGGCUAAUUCAGCAAAUAUAAAUCUCCAUGACAUCGUGAAUCCGAGCAUUCUUGCUCCUGCUUCUUGUACACGUCUGUAUAGAUUUGAUCAUAUCCUACGCUUUCCUUGUGAUAAUAAUAGGGUGAAAAUAGGAAUCAUUCUAGGUAAAAAUAAUAAUUACAAAUUACUCUGCACCUGCUAUAAUUCAACCACGCUCCCGCAAUAAACGGAAAACUCCCCAAAGGGAAGACGUGGCAUCACCACAUGGGAGACUCCAACUCCGGUAGGUAGAGUUUGGUGCACGUCUCUCUCUUUACUACGACAAUAGAAAUUGCAAGCUACUUUGGUGCCAAUGUAUUUACUUUGUUAAAGCUCAACUAUAGGUUGAUGCUCUAAUAUUGAGUUGAACUUAUGUAAUUUAUUGUUUUUGUUGUUUCCGUUGUCCUAAAGGGACUUCCAAACUUCCAUUCAUCAUAAGUCUCAACUUUUGCAGAAGAUUGACAAGGCCCAAUGUGUAAUGAGCUUCCUAAAGAAUCAAAGGAAAACAAACACUCACAUGAUGCAUUUGGAAUUCCUAGUAGCAACUGAAUAAGAAUGAAAUUAAAUUGAGCCAAAAAUAAAGUGGGCUUCCAGAGACCACAAAACAUGUUUAUGCACUAAAAUAGGAAAAGGAACUGCGGACAUACACAGCAAGACCAACAAGUGUAGUUUCCAUUUCUGCACUUCCUGUGAAAUUCUUGGUGCAUAGUGCAAUACUGUGUAAUCCAGCCAGCAAAACUUGAAGGAAAGCAGUAGUAAGACCUGAACUAAUUGUGAUGGCAUAUUAUGCCAACUUUGCAUAUGCCCACAUCGCCAUCAUUUUCAAAUCACUGAUAUAUCCCAAGCCUAUAAAAACUCAAAACAAACCCUACUGUUUCAAACAUGACAAAUAAAUUCUAGCAUAUUUGUCACUCAAGGAAGAAUGACAAAGAAAUAGUACUGGUCUAUUGUCACUCAAGGAGGAAGCCCGUGUCUACCACAAUGCAUUGCAGUUUUUUGUUGUUGCAUCUUAUAGUUGGCAGCACAUUGGGGGAGGCCCAAACCCUAUCAAGCGGGGAGAUGUGUGAUGUGCGGGAUGCUUCUUAAGGGAGGGACACUUUUGGGGUUUCUGACCACAUGGUCCCGACCCUAUUAAUCACUUGUCAGAGCUAUAAACCGGCCCAUAUGACUAAUAGCAAAGAUUAGGCACAAUCUUAGUGGUUACCUACCUAGUAAAGAUUAAUCGGCCCAUAAAUCGUUGACUCAACCGAUAUUUUCAAAAUUGGUAUUGGGAGCAACGAUGAGUCAUGACAACUCAACUAGCAAGAAUGGAGAUUAAUUUGUCUUUAAACUUUGCAUACCAAUGGGUCAAAUGAUGACAGUCCAAACUAACCCAUUCGUCUCGGAAGCAAGAUAACUUAACUAUCUCGCAUUACGUGGUGUGACACGAAAUGCAACUGUCUGCAAUCCCAAGAACUUAAUCACCUUACCAUCUUCCCGAAAUGCUCAACAUCUACGUGCAUCCACAUGGUAUGAUUUAGGAUGAAUACGCAACCCCUGCCAAAAUUUCACCGAUUAACAACGCCUUAUUACAAAUCCGGUUGACCUAACAAGCCGCAACAGUUCUGAGAUAACUCGAAUCGCCUAUGUUGUGUUGUGAAUCUGCAGUGUCUCAAAACCUGACAGGAACAAUUUCUACAAUCAACUGGAACUUAGACAUAAGAUAAUCUCAAGCGAAUUAGAUAUCACAAAACUAUUAAAAUUGUUCUUUCAUGGAGUGUUACUUUUUUUUCAGCUUACGACAUACAAAAAGUCUAUAUUACAAGAAUGUUUACAAGCAUGUAAAAGACAUGAGUUCCGUGUUAGCGUUGUUCUUCUAAAGUUUUUGACACUUUUUUUAUGGAUUUACUAUUCAUGCUUGCAGCGGAUGACUCUCUUAAUAUCAGAGUACUUAAUUUCUUCAAAACAACUUAUAAUGUCCUGGGUCUAAAAUAAUGCCAAACUGCAUUGGAUCUUAUGUUGAUCUAGUUGUCAAGAUGAAUUACUCAAUUGGCAUAUUGACCAACCUGAGUCUUAACACUUCUUCAGCACCACCACCUUUCUUGUGCAAAAUCUCCCGCAGUCAGCUUUAAUGGGUGGGCAAUGUUUUGUGUGAAAUUCUAAGUCAGCUAAGUUAACUUUCCUAACUUUUGUUCAUUGUUUCUGAGAUAAAAAAAAGACGUAUCAUAAUUAGAACUCAAAUAAGAUGUUUCAUAAUUAAGGGACUCUGGACCUACAUACACCACAAGCCUCCACUUCCACUCUUGGCUGCUACUCUCUCUGCUCGUAAAUAUAAGUCAUUUUAGAGAUUGCAAUGUGAACUAUAUACAAAACAAAAUGAGUGAAUCUACACUCUAAAAUAAGUCUAUACACAUCGGUAUGUAGUUCAUAUUGAAAUCCAUAAAAAGACUUAUAUUUAGGAACGGAGGAAGUACAAGAUUUACAAGGCCGAAAAUAUAAUGAGUUGUCCUGAAGGCUUGAAGCUAAACACUACGAGGUGAAAGAUUCCGUACAACAAUCUUGCUGUGAUCACAUAUUAUGGCAACUUUGCAUAUGUGCACGUCCCCAAAAUUUCAAAAUGCCUGAUACAUCCCAAACCUACAACUCAAUACAAGCCCUACUUAUUUCAGACAUGGCAACUUGCAAUUUUAACUCGCAACUUGCACCAUUGCAAUGCAAGGUUUUGCUGCUUUUAUAGCUGUUUGGUUCACAGUGACUUGAUUUGAAUUGGUCCACGUGAGACUCCCUCUCCACAGUAAAUGCCCAGCUUUAUAAAAUAGUGAAAGUUGGAAGAAAAAUUUGUACUCCCUUCAAUCCAUAUUAAUUGUCACAGCUUUAGUACAAUCAGUCAGUGAUGAAAAAACAUAAGCGGCGAAGAACACAGAUAGGCGGCACAAAACAGAGCCAUGCUAACAGCAGCGUAGUGAGAAACAGCAUACCAAAACAAUUCGCCAAAGCCAGAAAAAUAGACAGGAGACCUAAAAACGAAGGGCAGUCAGCGCAUCAUAAGCAUAAGUACGACAGCAAUUCUAAUCAGACCAAGAACCAAAAUACCAUGCAUAAAGAACAUUUUACUUGUCGAUUAGAUCUGGAGAAAGUAGUUGACACAAUAGCAAAACAUAUGCUUCAUAGCCCAUAGGGUUAUAACCAGAAAAUUAAAGAUAAUACAUUCUUCUUGUGGGAAGUUCUGGCACAACAUUCUAAACAUAACAGCGAUAUCAUCAGCUUAGAAGAGAGAUGUUCCCUUGCCCUUCUUGUCUCCACCGAUUUCAAAGUGCUUGCACCU